This 253-nucleotide ribosomal RNA is filed under the name uncultured bacterium. Its description in RNAcentral is "partial 16S ribosomal RNA". It matches the Rfam family "Bacterial small subunit ribosomal RNA", at positions 524 to 776 of the family's 1533-position model. The record is from RNAcentral.
UACGAAGGGGGCUAGCGUUGCUCGGAAUUACUGGGCGUAAAGCGUGCGUAGGCGGUUCGUUAAGUUCGUUGUGAAAGCCCCGGGCUCAACCUGGGAAUGGCAAUGGAAACUGGCGGGCUGGAGUAUGGCAGAGGGGGGUGGAAUUCCGCGUGUAGCAGUGAAAUGCGUAGAGAUGCGGAGGAACACCGAUGGCGAAGGCAGCCCCCUGGGCCAAUACUGACGCUCAGGCACGAAAGCGUGGGGAGCAAACAGG